UGCAGUCGAGCGAGCGGAACCACAGAUUUACUUCGGUAAUGACGUUGGGAAAGCGAGCGGCGGAUGGGUGAGUAACACGUGGGGAACCUGCCCCUAAGUCUGGGAUACCAUUUGGAAACAGGUGCUAAUACCGGAUAAUAAAGCAGAUCGCAUGAUCAGCUUUUGAAAGGCGGCGUAAGCUGUCGCUAAGGGAUGGCCCCGCGGUGCAUUAGCUAGUUGGUAAGGUAACGGCUUACCAAGGCGACGAUGCAUAGCCGAGUUGAGAGACUGAUCGGCCACAUUGGGACUGAGACACGGCCCAAACUCCUACGGGAGGCAGCAGUAGGGAAUCUUCCACAAUGGACGCAAGUCUGAUGGAGCAACGCCGCGUGAGUGAAGAAGGUUUUCGGAUCGUAAAGCUCUGUUGUUGGUGAAGAAGGAUAGAGGUAGUAACUGGCCUUUAUUUGACGGUAAUCAACCAGAAAGUCACGGCUAACUACGUGCCAGCAGCCGCGGUAAUACGUAGGUGGCAAGCGUUGUCCGGAUUUAUUGGGCGUAAAGCGAGCGCAGGCGGAAAAAUAAGUCUAAUGUGAAAGCCCUCGGCUUAACCGAGGAACUGCAUCGGAAACUGUUUUUCUUGAGUGCAGAAGAGGAGAGUGGAACUCCAUGUGUAGCGGUGGAAUGCGUAGAUAUAUGGAAGAACACCAGUGGCGAAGGCGGCUCUCUGGUCUGCAACUGACGCUGAGGCUCGAAAGCAUGGGUAGCGAACAGGAUUAGAUACCCUGGUAGUCCAUGCCGUAAACGAUGAGU
This 789-nucleotide ribosomal RNA is filed under the name uncultured bacterium. Its description in RNAcentral is "bacterial SSU rRNA". It matches the Rfam family "Bacterial small subunit ribosomal RNA", at positions 56 to 814 of the family's 1533-position model. The record is from RNAcentral.